UUUUAAGACCUUUGCCACAUACAAAGGUGCUAGAACUUGCCAACCCACCAACACCUAAACAACUAACAACUAAAAUAUGUGUAACCAGGUGGAAAGUUUAUGUUAAUCACAAAACUGGUUAUUCAAGUCCUGCUUUUAGUAAACAGCACCUAUAAAAUGUUUUACUGUCUUUCUCUUAUGUUGAUGUAAUCUUAUGUUGGCCCUUUAAGAAACGUGACCGUGUGGCUGUCUGGAAGUGCCGCGAGAGUUGUAUGUGAGCAGCUAUUCAUGAUGCGGUUUGGAUGGUGUGCAUGCAUGCAUGCAAGAUUUAGUGCUAACAAUGUUCACUAAAUAGAAAAAUAUUGAGAAAUAUACACUUUAUGAGUUAGGCACCGUUUCUCAGUGUUUUGUUGUUUUGAAUAUCUGUGUACUUUGCCGAUUGACACUGAUUUCUGUUGGGACACAUCUCGUUGUGGAAUCAAAUCAACACAAUUGUCUUUCAAAGAAGCAGGGGAGAAAAAUGCUCCGUAGUGUCUGGGUGUGUUUUUUUCGGUGCGAGCGUGAAGCAUCAGAAGGAAAAUCAAGCUCAUCAGAUGCCUUGUUAAUGUGUACAUGAGCUGGAGUGGUGAUGAACAGAUAAAUCAUCAAACUCUGGUAGUUCCUGUGUCUGUAUAUCCAGUUGAACAGAAUCUCCCGUCUGCACAAACACAGAGAUCUCAGCACUGAACCCUGAGGAGAGAGAAAAUAAGACUUUGAUUAAAGGACAAAGUUUAUUUUUCAGGUCACUGUUCACCUACAUCUGGCUUCUGUACACCUGCACAUCCUGUUUGCACAUUUGGUUAAGGACCAUAACACACUGUGUGCAUAACUUUAAAGUUAUAACCGCCACAGUUUGACUAUAGAGGGCACAGAGAGCGCUCGAGCAGCUACACCAAAGUGUUGGUAUCUGCAGAUCGGAGUAAUGGGCGUGACGAAUGGUCUUUAGGGUGUGGGGUAGGGUUAGGGGUUAGUUUCUGUUGUAGCAUUAGGUGUUUUCAACUUGAAGUGGCGCGGCGCUGCGCAUCUAUCCAACUUCUCCCUAAGCCGACUGUGUUUAGUUACACUAAAAAAGGCUUAAACAAAUCAUUUCAAAUCAUGAGGUUGAUUUUUGAAGUGCACUACAAAUAAACAUUAUCUGUCAGUUUUUCUAAAUGUGCUGUAAAAUUCCUUCAUAUUUUAUUUUUAGACAUUCAGGAGAAUAAAGUAACACUUGAUAUUUUUAAUAGGGUUGCCACCCGUCCCUAAAAUACAGGAUCGUCCCGUAUUUACGUGCAGAUUCAUACCGGCUGACGGUUUAUUGACCACAGUAUAAAUGGUGUUCUCGGUUUCAGAUUUGGGAGGUUUUGGUUCUCGUCUCUGUUAGUGCAACUUUAUCAUAUUCAGUUAAAGUUGUUCAGUUAAGCUCGUCUUCACUUUAUUCCAAAUUAAGACAUUUAAUCCAAAUUAACCAUAAUGUCAUUUUUAAAGGAACUGCAAUUCAGUGAGAGUACAGUAAUUGUUUAAUCUUCACCACAGAGUCAUGAUUGGGUGAGGUGUGGUUGGUUUCCAUGGUAACAUCAGGUUGUUCUGACUCUCCUGUAGUAUCAUAAACUGUGAGGAUUCUCUGAUUUCUCCAACAUCUCCAGUAUAAAUCAGACAAUACAACAGCAAUUUAGCGAUAUACAGUACCCACAGUUGUGGUCUUGACCGGUCUUGAAAAGAAAUCCGAGUCCUUUUAGUCUGAGACCAAGACCUUCAAAAAAUGGUCUUAAGACCAGUCUCGAGUACUACAACACUACUAGAGAUACAAAACAUGCUGCAUACUUGCACUUUAAAAAAGAGUCCAAGGCCCUUCUUCUGGUACAAAAAAUUAAAAAGCCUCGAUGUGAAUAAAGGCUUUUUAACUUUAUUUGUACCAGAAGAAGUUCUUUGGACUCUUUUCUAAACUACAACUAUACGUGAGAAGGUGUACAUUGACGGUAACACAAGAAACAUGAACUGAGAAAUACUGAGGGCUUAAAUACACUGAAACUGAUCAUUCACAAAAUAGAGAACAUUUGUGAACUAAUCAGAAACCAUGACAGUCCCAACAGCUCAGUACGUCACAUGGUGUCAUCUCGAAAUGACGGUCAUUAUGACAUGGCGUGAACACAACACAUCUGAUAAUUAACUGAUGACAAACAGUUACAAAGAAAAGCAUGAGUAGAAACUAACCAAGACAAUGAAACUAAACAUGACCGUAACAGAAACUUACAUCAACUUCUGCAUAUACUGUUUGUUCAUUCUGCUGGGUGCCUAUGAUAUUUAAAAUAAUAUCAAUUUUCAAGACCACAAUUUUCAGUUUACAAGCAUAGAACAUGUUAUACAAAUGAACUUUUUGCUCUAAAACACUUUUUAAAAUUCUGAUGAAAAUGUUUCUUAUUUCCAUUUGGAACAUUCCAAAGGAAUACUCAGUGUUACAUUCAAACUUACAGUAUGUCUGUGAUGAGCAUCUGUGGCAAGACUGAGAAAUGAUUACAGUAAAUUUACUUAUAAUCAUGUAAUCUAAUCACGAGUCAGAAGAUUUGAAAGCAGAACUGAUCAGCUUGUUUAGUUAACAAAAACAGGAAAUUGGCAAGUCCUGUGGCAUUAAAUGCAAGACUCUAUCUUAAAAAUAUUUUAAACAGCAUUGUGCUGUUUAAAUAGUUUUUAUGACCUCGUGUUAAUUGGGAGAUUACAUGGAAUAUUUUUAUUUCCAAAAAUGAAUUACGCAGUGCCACAUCACAGUUUUCCAGUGUAGGUUAAUUGCAAAUUGAUGCUUGUGUGGCCAAAGGAAAAAAAAAAAAAAAAAAGUACUUGACUGAGAUCAGAAAAUUUUAUUUUAUUAUUCAGCAGGUAAAUCUGCAGAUGGUUUCUACCAAGAUGGAAAUAUACGGCUAUUAAUUAAUUAACAAUCAAUCCAUAACUGAUGCCCCCAAUACAAUCACAAACACUGCCCCCACUGUACAAACAGACUAUACAAUAUGUACAAUGCCAUGUAGUGCAGAAAGGUACCUACUAUAUAUUUAGAGACAAUACUUGAAUGCUUGAGGUUUACAUUUAUGCAAUAGAAAAUGUUUAUCAAAAGAAGUGCAUUGGACUGUGAUUUCUUGUAAUACACUUGCAAUUGAGCAUUAUUGUCUUAGAAUCUAGCUGCACAAAUUAACAAAAGGUGCAAGAACAGUUAAACACAAAUUCAAAACAUAAGGACAGACUACAAAAAAGACAAAAACAAAGAAUCUGAACAAGAACAGAUACAAGUGAAGAAAAAAUGUUAAAGCAAUAUGUACAUGACUUACUGUUAUAGACUAACAUACUUUCUAGGAAGUGGUUUUCAGGUGUUGACUGCAAAGGUGUUAAGGAAUUUCUAACAGAAAUCUAUGUGAGAUUUUGCAUUCUUGUCUGAGCCACGUGUAACAAAUCAAAAAUACAUUGCUGCUUUAUUUACAAAAAGACAGACAGACUAGUUUAGAUUUAUUUACAAAUUCACCUUAAAUAAUUUCAAACUACAAUGUACUUGCUGCUUAUUUACACUGAGAACAACAGUGCCUCACUGUUAUUUACAAAUCGUUCCUAGUUCCUGUGGUGCGAACACAGCAAAAUCCGGGUACUUCAGCCAAUAGUUCUAGGAACUAUGAAAAGGUUCCUCCGGUGCAAAAGCCCCUAACGGUUCAGCUUUAUUAAAAGGCCACUUUUAUUGUAUUUUAUUCUGGUUUUGGAUGUACAGAUUCAUCGCCAGCUGGCUGUUUAUUGACCACAGCGUAAAUGGUGUGAUCAGUUUCAGGUUUUGGUUGCUUCUCAACGGUAGAGUAGAUAGUGACUGCUGCAUUUGGCUGGCUCUUCUCUGUUAGUGUUGCAC
Molecule: long non-coding RNA, 3874 nt
Organism: Ctenopharyngodon idella (grass carp)
Lineage: Eukaryota; Metazoa; Chordata; Actinopteri; Cypriniformes; Xenocyprididae
Exons: 5
Source: RefSeq, a predicted model, not a curated record